Molecule: ribosomal RNA, 542 nt
Filed under: Streptococcus gordonii
Lineage: Bacteria; Bacillati; Bacillota; Bacilli; Lactobacillales; Streptococcaceae
Description: bacterial SSU rRNA
Rfam family: Bacterial small subunit ribosomal RNA
Source: RNAcentral
UGGAGAGUUUGAUCCUGGCUCAGGACGAACGCUGGCGGCGUGCCUAAUACAUGCAAGUAGAACGCACAGUUUAUACCGUAGCUUGCUACACCAUAAACUGUGAGUUGCGAACGGGUGAGUAACGCGUAGGUAACCUGCCUGGUAGCGGGGGAUAACUAUUGGAAACGAUAGCUAAUACCGCAUAAUAUUGAUUAUUGCAUGAUAAUURAUUGAAAGGUGCAUUGCAYCACUACCAGAUGGACCUGCGUUGUAUUAGCUAGUAGGUGAGGUAACGGCUCACCUAGGCGACGAUACAUAGCCGACCUGAGAGGGUGAUCGGCCACACUGGGACUGAGACACGGCCCAGACUCCUACGGGAGGCAGCAGUAGGGAAUCUUCGGCAAUGGACGAAAGUCUGACCGAGCAACGCCGCGUGAGUGAAGAAGGUUUUCGGAUCGUAAAGCUCUGUUGUAAGAGAAGAACGGGUGUGAGAGUGGAAAGUUCACACUGUGACGGUAUCUUACCAGAAAGGGACGGCUAACUACGUGCCAGCAGCCGCGGUA